Molecule: long non-coding RNA, 1330 nt
Organism: Vidua macroura (Pin-tailed whydah)
Lineage: Eukaryota; Metazoa; Chordata; Aves; Passeriformes; Viduidae
Exons: 5
Source: RefSeq, a predicted model, not a curated record
UCGCGGCCAGCCGGGGCCGACGCACCGAGCCGCCGCCCCUGUCACGCCGGGGCAGCGGUCGCCGAACGCUGCCCCGCGGCCCCCCCGCCUCCUCCUCCUCCGCCCGCGGAGCCGCGGGCGACGCGCAGGCAAAAAUCCCUUUCAGAACCAAGGAAGGAGGCAACAACGUUUUUACAGUCCUGAGAAGUGCCUGUUACUAGAAAUUAUUUUCACUUUGUUCCUGAAAAGUAUGCCAAGUUUACUGGUGUUUGCUGGUGAUGUUACAAAUAGAAGCAGGACUGGCAGAAGGGAGCAUGAGCUUUCCAGUGGAACAUGUGACAGCAGGGACCUGCUCCAGGAGUCUCAACUGGGGCAUCUCUGAAUGGGAGAUGCUGGACUGGUGACUGAAAUUGUUUAGAAAAAACUACAUCUGUGAGUUGCUGUAUGUAUAAGCCUGUACCGGACUCAUUUAGACUUGGUACUCUGAACAGACAAAGGUAAUCUAAGAUCAGGUAAUCUCUAAAAAUGCUGUGGGUUCACACUACCUGAUUUCAGAGAGCAACUUUGUAUUUCUAAAUUAAAAAGAAUGUCCCUGAUGUCAAGAAGGACUUAUACUGGGAACGUAAGAGGAAUAUAUAUGGCUUAUAUUCACACUAGUUCCCUAUAGAGCAGACUCCCAUAUUCACAUCCCACAGUGCUCCUUGGACUCCUUCUGGUGCCCAUCUAGAGCCAACAUGCAAUUCUGAUUUUUCUGUGUUAUCUUCCAGUUUGAAGUUUGUGAAAUGGUGUGAAACUGUCCCACAGGCUGUGAGAAGGGUGCUUUCCUAGCAUCAGAGUGAGGUACGUGUUGCACACUCUGGGAUAUGGUAAGCUUUGAGGGCGCAGCCAGCUUGGCUGGUUUAGAAGAGCACGUCUUGUGAAGUCAAGCAAGAUGUGACCUUGGGAGUGCUGCUUGGUGCUGUCCUUGCAGCAGUGGGAAGCCAUUGCUUUCAGGAGGGCUUGUGGAGGUGUGGGAGCAGCAGCAGGGGCCUGAGCUUUGCUCCCAAACUGCCACAGUUAACAACAUGCCCAGAGGGAUCCCGAACGUCUCUCUGCUGCCGGCGCCACCUCGGUGUGGUGAAGCUCAGGGUCCUGGUUUCACCUGCCAGAGUUACACAGAAAAGAAAAAUGCAUCUCCAGAGAACAACUGUGUGACAUAUUCUAGACAAUAAAAUGUUAAAAUAAGAUCAACUGCCUUGUGCAUGUACUUUUUCUGUGCCAACUGACCAUAAGGCGAGCCUGUGAAGAUUAACUCAGGUUUAGAUGCCUGAUUAGUAUCUGUUUCAAUCUUGGAGAUAAUCCCAAAUUUUAU